AGUCACUGACAUUAGAUACCCCGGUAGUCCAGGGUGUAAACGCUGCAGACUUGGUGUUGGGGGCCCUUUGGGGGCAUUCAGUGCCGGAGAGAAGUUGUUAAGUCUGCUACUUGGGGAGUACGUCCGCAAGGAUGAAACUUAAAGGAAUUGGCGGGGGAGCACCGCAACGGGAGGAGCGUGCGGUUUAAUUGGAUUCAACACCGUAAACUCACCAGGGAAGACUGUUACAUGAAGGCCGAGAUGAAGACUCUGCUAGAUUUUCAG
Molecule: ribosomal RNA, 264 nt
Filed under: uncultured archaeon
Lineage: Archaea
Description: partial 16S ribosomal RNA
Rfam family: Archaeal small subunit ribosomal RNA
Source: RNAcentral